Acinonyx jubatus (cheetah) is the source of this 5341-nucleotide long non-coding RNA. RefSeq lists it as uncharacterized. The transcript is spliced from 4 exons. The record is from RefSeq and is a predicted model, not a curated record. NCBI's taxonomy places the organism in Eukaryota, Metazoa, Chordata, Mammalia, Carnivora, Felidae.
CCAUAUUCUCGGACAGACUCUGUCCUUACAGUGCAAAAGGACCAGCAGCUACUCCAGGCUUCUGUCCCACCAAGUGCAUCACCACGCUGAGCAGGUCAAAGCGAGACAGGUACUGGGACCUACCUCCUGCCCUUGACACCUUGCUCAAGGAUUCAUAGAGACCAUCCAAACCCCCUUCCUGGCCUGGGCUGGCUAAGCUUGCUGGCCCGGGCUCCCUUGGACCACCUUGCCCAAUGGGGCAAGACAUCAGUCUCUGCUUCUCCAGAGUCCCUCCAUCCUGCUGCCUGCUCUGUCUAUACCACCAACACCUUUUCUCCGUGGCCCAGCCACUGUGCUCUGCUCUAAGUCAUGUGCAGUUACCAGAGGGUACCGGCCAGCUGGUGGUCUACAGGGGCCCAUCUGAGGUGGAGGACCCUCCAGCUCACGGGUUAUGUUCAACGGGCACCUCCAUCUACAAUAGCUCCCCAAACCCACCAGCUAGAAACCCUACGGUGCGUGGUGAGUGUUGGUCCACAGAACGACCACCCAGAAUGGAGCUCCAUCCACAGUGGAGGGUAAACCAGCAGCCUCAGCAAGGGGCCACAGGAGUCAUUAGGAGAUGCUGCAUCCUGCACUCAGGGACAGGGGACAGUCCCGCCUGCAGGCCAAUCACAACUUUAUUGAGCUGGGCCCAGCAUCAGGGUCCCCCAUUCCCAAGGCUACAAGAUCUGAAAGACAGCAGCUGACACCACAGCUUCUGGAACUUCAUUGCAUUUUUCUGUCCCCUGAAUCACCCAGAAUUUGAAGACUCCAAGCUAGGCAUGCACCAGAAACUCAACAGGUGUUUGUGGAAGCUAAAAUGUUUCUCAUCCGUCUGCCUUGGCCCCAUCUGUAACACUCACCCCUUCCUCCCUAUUGCAAUUUCCUGAGGGAUCACCCCUCACCAUCACGAGGCCAGUGGCUAUAGCAUAGGGAGGCUUGGCUGCUGUGGCUUGGGUAGAAGAAUCUGCUUGGAUUGCUCACCUAAUUUCAGUUUUUCGUCAAUAAUAUAGAAAUAUGAGUAGCCCUCUUUCCAUUGCAAGUAAAAGAAACCCAAGCUCAAACAUUACUUAAGCAGAAGGAAAAAUGUGAGGAUUCAAGUUAAUAAAACAUCCAGAGUGAGGACUUCAGGCACAGUCGGAUCAAGGGGCACAAGCCCAGUGCUCAAGGCUCAUUCUCUGGGCCACACUAGCCUCUGAGUUGGUUUUGUGUGGAUGGGCUCCUUCUUCUGUGCCUGUGUUUGAAUCUGCACUCCCCUAACACAGAUCCUGAGACAGAUAUUUGAGUGAAAAUCUUUUAUUUGGGAGUUUUGGGAGGUAGGAAGUGAGACAGGGAAGGGAAACACUCAGCAUAGUACAUUGCUAAGCAAAUUACCCCUACGGGUACCUGGAGGUUAAGCCCACUGAGGAAGCCAGGGAGACUGUUCAGCACGUGCCCCAGGGUUGUUCUGCCUGAGGGGCGAGGGAGCUGGGCUGUUUGCCCACCAUUGCGCAUCCGUCCAUCCAGUUAAUUCCUGGCACCUGGUGAGCUCACUCCCCAGCCGGGGAAAGCUCUGAGGCACGGACCUGUAGGAAGCAAUGCCUGGGGUUUGCUCUGUUUGGACCAACCGAUUCUUGUUCCGGCCUCUGAGCCAAUCACUCUGGCUAGCACUGAUUGGCCGAGAGGGUCACGUGUCCUGGCCUCCGCGGAAUCUGCUCAAAGUCCUGUUAGGUCACGGGCACACCCCAGAACUUGGCACACGCGGGCUGAGCCUGUAUCGCGUGUUCGCCAGGCCUCCUGCUGGUCCUCCCCAAACCAUACGGCCGAAGACGAGGGGAGGAAAAGGGGGUGUUAUAACCAGGAAAAAAGGGACCAGUAGCUGAGUAGGGGGAGACCACAGACCUCACCCCCAGAGACCCAUUGGGUCGUUUGAGAAUCAAGGACAGUCAGCUGCGGAGUGUGGAGGGCAAAGCUCGGCACCUGACGGGCACCUGGGGCUCGUCUAAGCCAGCGACCCCCACGCCCCACGGGGUCCGCGGAUGUGCCGCCCUAAGCCUGCCGCUUCGGUUCCCCCUUUUCGGGGCUUUCUUUUUUCUUCCGCUAGAUUUUUGCAUUUUUCUGAAGUCUCGGACUUUGUUUUUUUAUAUAUAUAUACAGAAAAGAAAAUGGGGAAAAAAAUUUUUUUAAGCUGCAAGCCAGAGCUGCCUGUGCCUGCUGCCUUCCCCGACCCUCGCAUCAGCUUUGCGAGAGUGUGCUCGCUCCCCAGACGGCAGAGGCAGCCAUCGGGUCGGGGGCCAGGCCUCGGCAGCGGCAGGCGACGGUGAUGGGGGGGCAGCCGGCCCCAUUAAGUCAGCACAACCCGCCCGGGCGUGGGCGAGCAGAGUCCUCCGAUUUGGCCCUCGUCAAGGGAACCAUGCAAGCAGCCGGCUAAAUUCUACGGCCUCGUGGCUCAAACACAGGCUCAUCACAGGCUCUCCUAAGGUCUAGCUGGGGCUUCCUGGCAUUAUGCUUUCAUCCGGGACACGCUUAUUGAGUACUUGCUACCUGCCAGGCACCGUCCUAGACACGGGGGACACUGCAGUGAACGGAGAAGCCCAAACCCCUGGCUUGGUGGAGCGUACAUUCCAGCAGAGAUAACUAAUUGUAAAGGUAACGAUUAGACAACUGACUUUGAGGAAAGCUAGCCACCAUGUCAUGAAGACACUCAAGCAGCUCUAGGGAGUGGUCCACACGUGAGGAACUGAGGCCUCCUGCCAAGGGCCAUGUUGAGUGCGCCAUCUUGGAAGCAGAUCCUCCAGUCCCAGUUGAGCUUUCAGAAGAUGGCAGACCCCACCAACAUCUUGACUGCAACCUACAAGAGACCCUGAGCCAAAACCAUUCAUCUAAGCCACUCCCGGAUUCCCGGCUCUUGGAAAUCGAGUGAGAUAAUAAAUGUUCAUUAUGUUGAGCUGCAAUCCCAGUUUCUGGAAUCGACCCUGAAGAUACACUUCCAAUGAUACUACACAGAUAUACUGUCUUUGAAAAGCCUCAGCACAAAGGCCCUGUGCUUACAUGACCUGGUAGGUGGGGGGAGCACCCCCACCCUGAUGCCUCCUUUCCGGACUUGGAGAUGCCCCCGGGGACGAUGCGAACUCUGCCCGGCCGCCACUCGCUGCCUGCCCUUGGUCAGAGAAAGCGGGCCCACUCCUGCACUGCCAGGGACCAGCCUCAACGCCUCCCCCAUUGGGGCUAUGGAGGGGGCAGGCGUCCACUCUCUCCCCACUCCCUGGGGCUCCUCCAGUUGGACCCUACAGAGCCAGGCAGAGGUAUGGCCGAGGGGCAGUGGGUCGCCGGUGGGCGGAGACCCUCCCUAACAUUCCUGGCCUCCUCCAAGCCUCUGAACUGUCUUAGAGAUCGAGACUUUAUGAGAGAAAAGGUUAAUGCCUGACCUUGGGGAGAGCCCCCCUCUUGCCCUGCCCUUCCUUCGUGGAUUGCACCCCUGCCCUUUGCUUCCCGUGGCUCCCUCUCCACCGGUCUCCCGUGUGCCUGUCCCCCACCUGGAAGGUGCCUUCCUCUGCGCCACCCAACGCUGAUUGUGUCCACGAGAUUCUCGGGAGGCCUCGAGCCACAUCCCGCCCUGAGCCUCGGUCUCUUCCUAUGAUGAAGCAGGAGCACAGAGUGCGGGUGAGCAUGAGAGAGGGUGCCUGUCUCUCGCUUCACUGGGCGGCCAGGCAGUGCCUCAGGACAGAGUGUGACACACGUGCAGCCAAGUUGAAGGCAGUAAGUACCACCCAGGGAAGAGACCGGUGCACGACGAAGACCACAGAGAACACACACACACACACACACACACACACCCCCCGAGCUCAGGUGGUCAGGUGGGGCGGGGUUUACUCGCAGCGAGGUUGGAGAGGACAGAUGCACAAGCGCCAGCCCCUUGCGGUGCCUCAGUCCCCCAUGGGCUGCCCGCACCCCACUUCCUGCUGCAGCGGAAGGGCCCCAACCCAUCCCGUGUAGGGUCUGAAAUACAGGCAGCCGCGGGCCCGCCUGAGGGCCACUGACCCGCACGCUCGAGCAGAACGAAGGAACACGCACUGGGUCUGAAAUAGGUAAAGGCACCCCCAUGCGAGGCAAUCAUCCCUUCACAGCCUGCGGGGGCUCCCUACCUCCUGAGAAAGAAGGGUUCCAGGCCAGGGUCCAUCCUUAUGUGACCAAGCAGGGACCAAACGGCUGCCUUUCCCAGCACAGCUCGUUAAGUGGCACCUGUUAUUUUACCUCCAGGCUUUCUCCCCUUUCCCUCCGGGGGCCAUACCUCCACUCGCCAUUAUUUCGCAGGCUGUGAAUCCCUGACCCUCCCCAUCCACCCAUACACUAAGGGGGCGGGGUAUCCUGCAGAGCAGAUCACCGUUCCCACCCAUCUCGGGACACUUAACCCUCUGGUGUUUCAGGGUAUCCACCUAUAAUGUGGAGCCCCACGCCACAUUCGUGGGCCGUGGACCUCCUCUUCGAACAGCGGCUGCCCCUCCCCUCACAACCUGUGCCAUUUUACGGGAUUGUUACCUUGUGGCAAUGGAGACAAGUGGCAGCUACAUACCCGGUCUCCAUGGCUCCGUCCAUAUCAUGGAGCUCCAAGAUCUUAAUGUCCCUGUGGUGCAACUUUUAACUUCUUCUUAACUAAGAAUUAGCUCAGAGGUAAUUGCUUAAAUCGCACCGAUGAAAAUCAAUACGGAGUAAAUUAAACGAAAAGCAAAAUUUAUCCUGAACGUGUUCCUUGUCGCCUUUGAAUAAUGCGAUGACAAAGCAACUAUUUUACCUCCCAGGCUUGAAGUCUUUGUUCUUGGACAUCUCGAACGGAGAUGUAAUUAUAGGGCCCAUUUAUCAAAAAGAUUAAGGAAAUCGGGGAAUGGGAAUUGGUUUGCAACAGUUUUGCGGAAAUUAGAUCAACGUGACUCUCGGGUCUGCGUUUUUCAUGCCGUGUCCGGAAAGUUUCUCCAAUUGCACCGUUUUCUGGCUUCCCUCCCAGCCCCACAAAUCAACAAUCACACACAAGGUUGAUCCAGAGGGAGUGUCGGAGCCGAGCGCAGGAGGCCAAAGAAAGGCCCUGCGUCCCGUCCUAACAUGGAAGCCUGGGCCUCUCCACACUGGCGGGAGAAAGACUUGUUUUUCUCAACCCUCGUUGCCAAGGAUACGGCAUCCGAUCCUCCGGAUCUGAAUGAAAGAGCCUGGUUUCCGGGGUUUUUUGUGCAUUUCAUAAUUUAGAAUGCGUUUGGCUUUCAUUUGCAACCCGGCCUGCCAGCCCAUCUCCCCACAGCUCUGCAAAGCUAACCCGUAAUGAACAUGAAUAAAUCAAACCUUCUCUGCUCCG